Small nucleolar RNA from Lactuca sativa (garden lettuce), 107 nucleotides. Lineage: Eukaryota; Viridiplantae; Streptophyta; Magnoliopsida; Asterales; Asteraceae. The record is from RefSeq and is a predicted model, not a curated record.
AGGUCAUUUUGAGGGCAGUUUCUUACCAAACCCUUGUAUCUCUCCCAUGCCUCGUAGAGUGAUUCUCCUCCUAUUUUCUCAAAGGUGGCAAUUGCUUUCUUUAAUUU